UGGGGUGUAGCUUAGUGGUAGAGCACUUGCCUAGCAGCCUAGCAUGUAUGAUGCCCUGGGUUUGAUUCCCAGUACUAAAC
RNAcentral lists this transfer RNA (80 nucleotides) under Marmota monax (woodchuck). RNAcentral describes it as "tRNA.Ala". The stretch from base 5 to 75 matches the Rfam family "tRNA", at positions 5 to 66 of the family's 71-position model. From Rfam's summary of the family: Transfer RNA (tRNA) molecules are approximately 80 nucleotides in length. Their secondary structure includes four short double-helical elements and three loops (D, anti-codon, and T loops). Lineage: Eukaryota; Metazoa; Chordata; Mammalia; Rodentia; Sciuridae. The record is from RNAcentral.